UGUGUUUACAGUAUUGGAGGGAUUCACAUCGUUAUUUUCUGGAUUAAGCUGCUAGGAGUAUCAUGUACUUAGAAAUUCAGUGUUUAUAGUAAGAUGUAUUAAACAUUGCUAAUGAUGUAUGGUUACAAUGUAUAACAGGUUUUCCAUUGUCAUAACUGUAUGGAAUUUUCUUGGAGGAUGUCAUUAGCUUCUGUUUGCACUGACUUGUGAGCUGUGUGUACGCUGUGGUCAGAUUUCUGAAUGCUGUAGAGCACUUACCAGCUCUGACCAUGUCUUGCUGGGGCCAGCAGGCUGCGUGUGCAGCGGGGCCAGCUGUCUCAGGGCUGAUAUGUAGACGUGUAUUCUGUUUACAAUUAGUUCCCCAACUCUGUGGGGAAGAACUUAAGCGGUUUUAGUGUUUUACAAUAUGGUGAGGCAAUGAGGGUCAGGGCGCAUGGUCCCUGAGGGAGGGUCUUCAGGGCAAGACCCAUGGCCCUGGCCUGGAACUGUGCUCCCCAGGGCGUGGUGCCUCCCUAAGGGGAUGGUCAGUGUUCCUGGGACUGACUGCCAGGCCAGCCCUUCUGCAGACUCCUGUGGUGGGAGUUCCCUGGGACGGGAAGCCCCUCGGCCCCUUCCCUCCAGGGGCAGGAACUGAGCCAGCAUGGGCGGGGCCGGCCGAGCUUCCAGGCGUGUUUUCUCUGUUAAAUGUACCUGUCUUUAAGCUGUCUCAUUUUCUAAUCGCUGGCAUGUCUUGCCUAGAAAAGCAUUUGGAAUUGCUUAUGUUCAAUUACAGAAAUAAAAUGUCUUACUUGCCAUUGUAGAAUCCCUGCA
Molecule: small RNA, 810 nt
Filed under: Pan troglodytes (chimpanzee)
Lineage: Eukaryota; Metazoa; Chordata; Mammalia; Primates; Hominidae
Description: sense intronic
Source: RNAcentral